CCUACGGGGGGCAGCAGUGAGGAAUAUUGGUCAAUGGGCGGAAGCCUGAACCAGCCAAGUCGCGUGAGGGAUUAAGGCCCUGCGGGUCGUAAACCUCUUUUGCCGGGGAGCAGAGGUCCGGACGUGUCCGGGCCGGGAGAGUACCCGGAGAAAAAGCAUCGGCUAACUCCGUGCCAGCAGCCGCGGUAAUACGGAGGAUGCGAGCGUUAUCCGGAUUUAUUGGGUUUAAAGGGUGCGUAGGCGGAGUGUCAAGUCAGCGGUAAAAUUUCGGGGCUCAACCCCGUCGUGCCGUUGAAACUGACACCCUUGAGUGAGUGAGAAGUAAGCGGAAUGCGUGGUGUAGCGGUGAAAUGCAUAGAUAUCACGCAGAACGCCGAUUGCGAAGGCAGCUUACCGGCGCUCAACUGACGCUGAGGCACGAAAGUGCGGGUAUCGAACAGGAUUAGAUACCCUAGUAGUC
RNAcentral lists this ribosomal RNA (460 nucleotides) under uncultured bacterium. RNAcentral's name for it is "partial 16S ribosomal RNA". It matches the Rfam family "Bacterial small subunit ribosomal RNA", at positions 338 to 795 of the family's 1533-position model. The record is from RNAcentral.